GGACGAAUAAGUUAAUGGUAGACCCAGACAUUUCCAAUGUUUUUGUGCAGGUUCGAUUCCUGUUUCGUUCA
Non-coding RNA from Cerrena zonata, 71 nucleotides. The record is from the annotation of a GenBank genome assembly. NCBI's taxonomy places the organism in Eukaryota, Fungi, Basidiomycota, Agaricomycetes, Polyporales, Cerrenaceae.